CCUAGUAACGGCGAGUGAACAGGAAAAAGCUCAAAGUUGGAACCUGUUUGGCCUAGCUAAACCGGAUUGUAAACUGUAGAAGUGUUUUCCAGGCAAGCCGGACCGAUAAGUCCUUUGGAACAGGGCAUCAUAGAGGGUGAGAAUCCCGUCUUCGGUCUGAGCAUUUGCCUUUUGCGAUACACUUUCAAAGAGUCAGGUUGUUUGGGAAUGCAGCCUAAAUUGGGUGGUAAAUCUCACCUAAAGCUAAAUAUUGGCGAGAAACCGAUAGCGAACAAGUACCGUGAGGGAAAGAUGAAAAGAACUUUGAAAAGAGAGUUAAACAGUAUGUGAAAUUGUUAAAAGGGAACCGUUUGGAGCCAGACUGGCUUGUCUGUAAUCAGUCUAAGUUUCGGCUUGGAUGCACUUGCAGGCUAUGCCUGCCAACGACAAUUUGGCUUGAGGGAAAAAACUAGGGGAAAUGUGGCCCAUUCGUGGGUGUUAUAGUCCCUUAGAAAAUACCUUGGGCUGGAUUGAGGUACGCAGCGAAUGCUAUUUGGCGAGUUGGCUGGGAAUAUUUUCUGAGGUGCUCUGGUACUGAGGUUGAUAUUUCCAGUUACACUUCUAU
RNAcentral lists this ribosomal RNA (604 nucleotides) under Rhizopus microsporus var. chinensis. RNAcentral describes it as "eukaryotic LSU rRNA". It matches the Rfam family "Eukaryotic large subunit ribosomal RNA", at positions 79 to 601 of the family's 3401-position model. Lineage: Eukaryota; Fungi; Mucoromycota; Mucoromycetes; Mucorales; Rhizopodaceae. RNAcentral also lists the same sequence under 1 other name. The record is from RNAcentral.